AGCUGCUGCCAUGGAGCCAGCCGGGCUAGAGCGGCUCCUACGGGAGCUGCUGCUACCGGACACCGAGCGCAUCCGUCGGGUACGGAGCAGGCGUAACCCGGCCAGGGCGAGCGGGAGGUUGCGGGAAAGGCCCGACUCUCACCCCUAGCUUCCCCCCAGGCCACGGAACAGCUCCAGAUCGUUCUUCGGGCCCCCGCCGCUUUGCCGGCUCUCUGCGACCUGCUAGCCUCGGCGGCCGACCCCCAGAUCCGCCAGUUUGCGGCCGUGCUGACCCGCAGACGACUGAACACCCGCUGGCGACGGCUGGCGGCGGAGCAACGGGAGAGCCUCAAGUCCCUGAUCCUGACGGCCCUGCAGAGAGAAACAGAGCACUGUGUGAGCCUCAGCCUGGCCCAGCUCUCAGCCACCAUUUUUCGAAAGGAAGGCCUGGAGGCCUGGCCACAGCUUUUGCAGCUGCUUCAGCACAGUACCCACAGCCCCCACAGCCCAGAGAGAGAGGUACCAUCACAUGGUUGGCAGGAGGGAGGGCCUGAGAGGCUGGAUAGACCUUGUAAGCUUGCUCUCCCAUCCUCUAUUCUUGGACAGAUGGGGCUUUUGCUGCUAAGUGUGGUGGUGACCUCCCGGCCCGAGGCCU
Molecule: small RNA, 634 nt
Filed under: Pan troglodytes (chimpanzee)
Lineage: Eukaryota; Metazoa; Chordata; Mammalia; Primates; Hominidae
Description: retained intron
Source: RNAcentral